Molecule: long non-coding RNA, 292 nt
Organism: Cydia pomonella (codling moth)
Lineage: Eukaryota; Metazoa; Arthropoda; Insecta; Lepidoptera; Tortricidae
Exons: 2
Source: RefSeq, a predicted model, not a curated record
CACCAAAUGCAACAUCUUUUACUUUAAACCAAAAUCUACGAGCAAGUCAGUCUAUAAUAAUAAAGUGGAAAAUAUGCUGCACUACGCAUCACAAGAUAGACAUAGCAAGUAGCUAUUGGGAAUGAUGCAACAAUAAGAAUAAUCGGAACCUUGAAUUGGAUGUGAACGGGGCGAAUGAUGGUGCAAAUUAGAAGCGCAAGCGAUUGAUGAAGAAAAACAAUGAAAAUGAGCGACAUUUGUGGCAAUACAAUUUGAUUUAAAAGUUAAAACAUGAAUCUUGUACUUAAUUUUA